AGGGUCUCACCUUCAUCCCUAAAGCAUAUCUAGAUGGGGAAACUGAGCGUGCUCCUGCAGAGAGCAAACUAAGGAACUAGCAACCAACUCUUGAGCAUGUGCUCAGGUGAGGUCCUGGUGUGCUGGGGCCCGCGGGGUGAGGAGGACCCUCAGAUCUCCUACCUGUGAAGGGCACACAGUCGAGCAGAGAAAACCGGCCCUGAAACGGGGAUGGUCCUUGUGGGUGGGUCCAGAACAGCAGCACGGACUGGGCAUAGUGAGAGGAGCCUCGUCUGGCUAGAGAAUCCCAGAGGCAUCAGGAAAAGGUCACUGACGUGGGCUGGGCCCGCCUGUCCCCCGCUAGACACCAUACCCUGAGGAGAAGCAAGGGAGGACCUCUGUAGUCACAGGGCAGAUCUGUGGGGCAGCGACCGCCCUGGAUAACGCAGGCCAUAGAAGGAGGCCUUCGUGUCCUUUGUGUUCAUGUUUGAAGCAUUCUUGAAGCCUUCACACUCCAGAUCACUGCUGUCUAUGUAACCCAGAAGAGCUUCCCCGGAGGCCCUCAACCACUUACACUUCUCUUGUCCGCCAAGGCCCAGCUCUCAGGCCACCUCUUCUGUGAGAUCUUUCCACAAUGAACCCCCGGACCCCCCAACUCUAGGGCUGCACAUGGCAGUUGACUUCAGUCCGUCUGUGCAUUCCAUCCUCAACAGCUUCGUCUCUGCACCCGCAGCAGCUUGCUCAGAGCUCUCAGGAUGUGAUGGCAGCAGCCUCACACUCCGAGGGUGAGCACACACUCAGGGGACCCAGGGGCACCAUCCUGACCCACUUCCUGCAGGGCUCGGCCUGUUGUCAUGGCGGGGAACCACCAGCUAAUUUGGGAAAAACCAGCUGUUGAAUGCAGCCGGCUCCCCAGCCACCCGCAGCACACACUGUGUCCUCCAAUGCUCCUCCAAGCACGUGUCAGCCUUCAGCACCCAGCAGGGACCCUCUGCCAGCCUGGCUGCUGCCCCCACACCCAUUCCGGCCAGGCAGAGGAGAAGGAAGCACAUUUGCUCUGAACAGAGGCAGUCCCCCCACCAGCCCCAGCCGGACAGGUGGCCCCCACGCCUCCCUUCCAGGCCAGGGUCUGGCAGCAGGCAAGCCAGCGGGAACCUCCUCUGAAGAGCCGCCGGGGCCUGGACUUCCCUGGGCUUCCUGCUCACCGGAAUGCCUCCCUGAUCAUGGGCCCGUCGGCGCCCAUCCCUUUGGCCGCCCUCUCUCUCACACACACACACACACACCCAGGGCCCAGCUCCGUCCUGGCUCCUGUAGGCCUCACUGAAUCCUGCGUCCCCAGCAAGUCUCCACUCAGGUGGGACCUCUCGCCGCCCAGCCUCACUCUGUUCCUUAAGGACAGCCAGGCAGAGGACCCUGUGGUGUAGAUUCGCCCACACCCUCACGCUGCAUGCCUUGGCCCGCACCCACCGCUCCCGACAGGAAACGCUGAGCUGCCCCUACUCUGACCUCCCAAAGCUGAAGACCUGCCGUCGAUCCCCAGCUCUCCCACGGAACAGGCAAAGGACUUAAUCAAAUCUUUUGAGCUUUCCAGGGACAUACCACCUCCAUAAAACAGGAAAAACAAUCCUAACUAACUCAACGGAAUGAGAGACGGUGUAAACGCCUGAUAAACUGACUGCGCUGUUCAUUUUAUUGGCCUCUGCUGCGGUUGGUUUGUAGCUUCACUCUCUGUUUAUCGCUUGAAAUUCAUUCUCUCUCUGGUUCGGACGGUGUCCUCUCUGAAGACCAGCUGCUUUGCAGGUUUUCGCUUUGUCCUCUUUGCUGCCUGUCCCUGCAUUCAGUGGGUGCCUGAGGAAGCCUUCCUGCUGCACACUAGCUGGCCGCUAGGUGGCAGUGUGGGUUCUGAACCGAGGCGCAGGCGUGGGCACAGGUUACUCUGCAGGUAGGCCUCCUGCCCCAUCCAACUCCCAGCUGCCUCUUCAUCCACGAUACUGGCAACAGACACCCGUGGAAAGCUUCCUGCUACUAAAUACAGGCUGAAGCCUUGGAGGCAGGUGAUUUGGCUUUGACCCGAGGUCCACCCCUUUUAUCAGCUGGGGCUUCCUUCACAGAACAAAGGCAGGAGGCAGGCUGGGUGGGGUGCCGGGGUCUGAGCAGCACAGAGAGGCCCCUCGUGGUGGCUGCUGUGACUAAAAGGCCUGGAUUUCCCUGGAGGCCCAGAGGACGCUCUGGAAUCCCAGUGGGCCGGGAGACCCAGGCUUUCCAUGCUCUCAGCCCCUUCUCUGCCGACUUCUUCCUCUCAACACACAGCGUGACCAAUCCCUUCCCAGUUAAAAGGGGUGGUUCCCGUCGGGGAUUUAGCUCAGCGCCUGCCUGGCAAGUGCAAGGUCCUAAGUUCCACUCCUGGUAUGGGGCGGGGAGGAGUAAUGUUUCCCUGACUCGUGUUUCCCUUCACCACCCCUGUUUAGCCUUACCUUCUUAGCCAAACUUAUGGAAAUGUCUUCACUCUGUCUCCCCCAGCACCUCCUGCUCACACCUCAGCCUCUCCCUUACCUUCUCUCUCUGGCACCAGCCACUCUGUAUUCCCACCUUCCCAUCUCCAUGUCCUCACUGCACACUUUGAUGCAGGCUACCAGGCUGGUCUCGAACUCCCUAUGUAGCCCAGGCUGGCCUCAUUCACCGUCCUCCUGCCUCAGCCUGCCGAAUCCUAGGGUUACAGGGGUGUGCCACCAGAGUCAAAUUUUUAGCUAGGAUUUCCACACAGGAGCGUUCCAGAUCUCUGCACUGGCCCGCACACCCUCAGCCCCAGUAUCUUAUCUCCUGCUGACUCAACACACCCAAGACUGAGCUCAUCGCUCUGCCCUCAGCCCUGAUUCAACCUGUUCUUCCUCCCCUGUCUCCUGUCUCAGCAGAGUCUCGCAGGGAAGCAGUGGUGGCCAAAGUCAAAGCCGUGGAUGUGAGCGGUGCGGACUUCUCCCAGCCCCACACCACCUCCGUCCGCUCCUGACAGCACUUCUCCAACCACCCCCCUGUUCUGCCAAGCCCCAAGCCAGGCCUCGUCACCUCUUCCCUAAACACCCGCAACUGCCUGCGAACUUCUCCUGUUCGCCCUCCUGCCCUUGCCCACUGCCCUGUCCUCUUUGGAGGCAGCAUUCUUCAUAAAUGCAAAGCUGAACAAGUCUUCUAUUUGCCCAAGACUCCACAGUGCCCUGAGGCUGUUGCCUGAAACUUCUUGACCGCGCUCCACCCUCUGUCCCUCCAUAAACUUUGGCAACCUCCAGCCCCUCAAACUCUCUCCUUUCCUCUUGCUUUCUUCUCUCCUUUCUUUUUCUUUCUUUUCCUUUCUGCUCCUCCUCUUCCUCCUCCUCUUCCCUCCUGAUGGUAGAGGAAUUGUCAACUCCCUAUUUAUUCUCAGCUCUCCUGGAUGCUCCUUCUCUGGGCUUCCUGGUCCAGAGUGCUCAAGGCUGUAGCUGUGUGACUGACCACCCAUCACUAACUGGACUCAGCCUGAGGGCAAGAACUGUGUGCUUCUGCAUCCCCUGCACCAGAUUCACUGCCUAGCACCAAGAAGAGGUUACACAGACGUUUGUUUAUUGGAUAGGUAAAUGGAUGAGUGAUUAGAAAACUGAAACGUUAUUGUUCAUAACAAGUUCCUUGCUUCUUCAGAAGUCAUCUGGUGUUUUGCUCAUUACCUUAACUGGAAGCCGGACCCUAAACCUCAGAACAACUCAAAGCAACACUGCUGGAAGCUCCGCCAGAGCCAGGGGCUGAGACAGCUUCUCCUGGGUCAUUGCCACAAAGUCCAGGUGCCAUUGCCAUGAAGUCCAGGUGCCAUUCCUGCCCCACCCCUCAGAGGGGUGCGUUCUGCAGGGAGUCAGCUUUGCUCCUACUUGUACCCAGAGAGACUGCUCUUGCCAGACCAGGCGGCAGGAACAGUAUGACAACCGGUACCGUAACCAAAGAACAGAGCCAAGCUCUCUGAACUGUGUCCCCAGAAGAAGGAAGCUCUGAGCCCACGGUGUGCCAGUCCCAGAAAAUCCAGGACAGAAGCACAGAAGCGACAGCCUCUACUGCCCGUGUAAAUGAGAUGCAAACACAUCCAUAAAGACAAAGGCUCUGUCCCCACUGUGGUAAUAACAAAGCAUCGAUCGUAACAGCAACAGAGCUGCAUUGCAUUUCUCAGCGUACAUCACAGGCUCGGGCUUUGUUUGUGCUCUGCUCCAAUUGCUUUCCCCACCUUACUCUCCAAGACCCCUUGAAAAUGCUCACCCUGCUGCCUACCUCUAGUUUAAUGAACAACUCACUUUCUGCAAAAUUCUGUAAUACACUGUUCAUCUUUCUUUGACAACACUGAUCUUCAAUUGUGUUUCACCGGACUGUGCUUGUCCUCGUCUUUGAUCAGGUUAUAGGCGCUCAGCAGGGAGGAGCUGCCUUAUCCAUGUCUACAGUGUGCAGUCCUAGGUGCUAAGCACUCGAUAAACGCCCGC
RNAcentral lists this long non-coding RNA (4466 nucleotides) under Fukomys damarensis (Damara mole-rat). Its description in RNAcentral is "lncRNA (ENSFDAG00000032280.1)". Lineage: Eukaryota; Metazoa; Chordata; Mammalia; Rodentia; Bathyergidae. The record is from RNAcentral.